CCAUGUCCUUACAACAGCAGGUAGAAGUCUGAUGUCCCUUUAUACCACAGGCUGGACAGUCCAUGUCCUUACAACAGCAGGUAGAAGUCUAAUGUCCCUUUAUACCACAGGCUGGACCAUGUCCUUACAACAGCAGGUAGAAGUCUGAUGUCCCUUUAUAUCACAGGCUGGACAGUCCAUGUCCUUACCACAGGCUGGACAGUCCAUGUCCUUACACCAGCAUGUAGAAGUCUGAUGUCCCUUUAUACCACAGGCUGGACAGUCCAUGUCCUUACAACAGGCUGGACAGUCCAUGUCCUUACAACAGGCUGGACAGUCCAUGUCCUUACAACAGGUUGGACAGUCCAUGUCCUUACACCAGCAGGUAGACUGGAUAUUAUCCCCCUAUGUCUUAUUACCUGUUCUGUCUGGAUGUAACAGGCUGACUAGUAAAUUACAUGUCUUUGGCCCCAUUACACUAAAAACUUGUCCUCAACCAUGUAAUUUACAAUUACAAAAUAUUCAAACCGUUCUGAAUAUGAGCUCCACUGCUCAAUGGUUCCAUCAA
Molecule: long non-coding RNA, 547 nt
Organism: Oncorhynchus tshawytscha (Chinook salmon)
Lineage: Eukaryota; Metazoa; Chordata; Actinopteri; Salmoniformes; Salmonidae
Source: Ensembl